GCAGACAUAUCCCUACAGUCCAUAACUUUUCAGUGCUCUAGUAGACAUCAGCCAUCUCUAUACGUCACCAAAUAAGCUGCGCUGGACGUUUGAUGAAUUAUGCCACAAGCGACCUUCGGUAGUGGUAUGGCUUUUUGCUUUGGCAUUUGAGAUGGGCAGAGGUGGCUCCUGGCACCGAAUACAUGGGUUGUUUGAGAGGGCAUUGCCAAAUGACAGUUUGCGGACAUCUGUAUUAUUGUGGUGCUCCUACAUUGCAUAUGAGAUUGAUAUAGUACAAAACCCUUCUGCAGCUAGGCGUAUUUUCUUUUGAGCCAUUCACGCCUGUCCAUGGUCCAAAAAGUUGUGGUUGAAUGGUUUUCUCAAACUAAAUUCCGUCCUAAGUGCCAAAGAGCUAUCUGAUCUGCAAGAAGUGAUGAGGGAUAAAGAAUUAAAUCUACGGACUUAUAUUUAUGAGAUCCUUUUGCAAGAUGAUAUCGUAUCAUGACGUCAUACGUGCUUCAUAAGCUGGGGUCAUGUGGCAUCUCUCAGUGUUCUUUCUUGUGAAUUUGGCAGAUGAAUAAUGACUUGACGGAAGGAAGAACAUGAAGACAAGGCGGACAAAAGAAGGGCGGGAAAGAAGUGAAUGUCCGAGGGCAGCGAGUGUGCACGUUUUGUUGCAGAGGAUAUUCCGGUGACGCCAGUUGUUAUUCGAAAGAGUAUAUGCACUUCAUGAACGUUACUCUUCCAUUUUCAGGACAAAUGCUUGUGCGGUAAUUACAUGUAUAGAGUGUUUGACAGUUGCCGCUGCAAGUUGUCAGCACAUGCGACUACAUUGUUAUGGAAACUGUUUUUUGUUGACACCGCAUCAAAUGACGAUGUUUUUUUUGUCCAAGAGACUGAGCAUCUGGUUGUGGACUAAGUGCGGCCAAGUUCUGCGCAGCAUUUCGAUUGAUAUCAAACCAUGCAGGUGGUGCUUGA
This is a long non-coding RNA of Syzygium oleosum, 957 nucleotides long. RefSeq lists it as uncharacterized. NCBI's taxonomy places the organism in Eukaryota, Viridiplantae, Streptophyta, Magnoliopsida, Myrtales, Myrtaceae. The record is from RefSeq and is a predicted model, not a curated record. The transcript has 3 exons.